Molecule: long non-coding RNA, 594 nt
Filed under: Papio anubis (olive baboon)
Lineage: Eukaryota; Metazoa; Chordata; Mammalia; Primates; Cercopithecidae
Description: lncRNA (ENSPANG00000038630.1)
Source: RNAcentral
CUGGAAUAAAUACCUAAUGGUAUUGAUGCAUUAUUUUCUUGAAGUGGUAUGAACACUAUUGAGUACAAUUUUCUUCAGGAUUUUAAUCGCUAUUAAAUCACUCAUUGUUUCUUUUUAUGCUUAUUUUUGGUGAUUGGAGAAGGGAUUUGUGAGCUUUGAUAAUUUUGCUAUUAUUUAUUUGUUUGCCUUCUUUUUUUUCUUUUUUGCAGAGCCCUCAAUUUCCUACUUUUUCUUCUAUUGCCAUAGUUACUGAAUGUUAAAAAAUCUCUCAUUUUAUUUUACCUUUCUCUUCUCCAGCAACGAUGCCUCUCAAAGCUUAGCACGAAGAACUGUGCCCUCUUUUAAUUCCUUUCUGUGUUUAGUCAUCUGAACAAACACAUUUCUUUAAUUUCACACUUACAGUGGAAUUUUUCUUGCUGGCAGUGACCAUAGCUCAAGGUCAUGAUUGGAAAAUAGUAAUCCUCUAUGAAAGCUUCGUAUCACAGGAAGAAAGUACCUUGCUUCCUCUUCACCUUCUGCCAUGAUUGUAAGUUUCCUGAGGCCUCCUCAACCAUGCUGAACUUUCUUCAAAUAGAUGGAAGAUGUUCAUAGAAU